This is a long non-coding RNA of Oncorhynchus tshawytscha (Chinook salmon), 725 nucleotides long. The record is from Ensembl. NCBI's taxonomy places the organism in Eukaryota, Metazoa, Chordata, Actinopteri, Salmoniformes, Salmonidae.
CAUGUGUUGUUGUCUGUGUCGAAUUGCUAUGCUUUAUCUUGGCCAGGUCGCAGUUGCAAAUGAGAACUUGUUCUCAACUAGCCUACCUAGUUAAAUAAAGGUGAAAUAAAUAAAAUAAAUAAAAAUUGAGAUAGAAUGUUUCAUAUUAGGUUACAAUACAGAAUGUCACCUUUUAUUUAAAACUAUUCAUACAUAUAUAUUUUACCGUUUAGUCUUAAUUGUACAAACUAAUUUAGUCAAAAGUUGAGUGUUUGGUCCCAUAUUCCAUUCCUGCAGUGAUUACAUCACACUUGUGUGAUUUACAUCACAAGCUUGUGAUUCUACUAACUUGUUGAAUUAAUUUGCAGUUUGUCUUGGUUGUGUUUUAGAUUAUAUUUUUCCUAAUAGAAACUGAAUGGUGAAUAAUGUCCUAUCAUUUUGGAGUCACUUCAUUUGUAUUGUCAGUAAGAAUAGAAGAUGUUUCUGAACACUUCUACAUUCAUGUGGAUGCUACCAUGAUUAUGAAUAAUAAUGAAUGAAUCAAGAAUGAUGAUGAAUGAGAAAGUUACAGAGGCACAAAGAUCAGACCCCCUCUGUUAUUGGUAAUGGUGAGAGGUUAGCAUGUUUUGUUGUAAGGUUAGCAUGUUUUGUUGUAUCCUCUGUUAUUGGUAAUGGUGAGAGGUUAGCAUGUUUUGUUGUAGUCUCUGUUAUUGGUAAUGGUGAGAGGUUAGCAUGUUUUGUUGUAG